GGGUUGUGAGGUUAAGCGACUAAGCGUACACGGUGGAUGCCCUGGCAGUCAGAGGCGAUGAAGGACGUGCUAAUCUGCGAUAAGCGUCGGUAAGGUGAUAUGAACCGUUAUAACCGGCGAUUUCCGAAUGGGGAAACCCAGUGUGAUUCGUCACACUAUCAUUAACUGAAUCCAUAGGUUAAUGAGGCGAACCGGGGGAACUGAAACAUCUAAGUACCCCGAGGAAAAGAAAUCAACCGAGAUUCCCCCAGUAGCGGCGAGCGAACGGGGAGCAGCCCAGAGCCUGAAUCAGUGUGUGUGUUAGUGGAAGCGUCUGGAAAGGCGCGCGAUACAGGGUGACAGCCCCGUACACAAAAAUGCACAUACUGUGAGCUCGAUGAGUAGGGCGGGACACGUGGUAUCCUGUCUGAAUAUGGGGGGACCAUCCUCCAAGGCUAAAUACUCCUGACUGACCGAUAGUGAACCAGUACCGUGAGGGAAAGGCGAAAAGAACCCCGGCGAGGGGAGUGAAAAAGAACCUGAAACCGUGUACGUACAAGCAGUGGGAGCACAGAGCAAUCUGUGUGACUGCGUACCUUUUGUAUAAUGGGUCAGCGACUUAUAUUCUGUAGCAAGGUUAACCGAAUAGGGGAGCCGAAGGGAAACCGAGUCUUAACUGGGCGUUAAGUUGCAGGGUAUAGACCCGAAACCCGGUGAUCUAGCCAUGGGCAGGUUGAAGGUUGGGUAACACUAACUGGAGGACCGAACCGACUAAUGUUGAAAAAUUAGCGGAUGACUUGUGGCUGGGGGUGAAAGGCCAAUCAAACCGGGAGAUAGCUGGUUCUCCCCGAAAGCUAUUUAGGUAGCGCCUCGUGAAUUCAUCUCCGGGGGUAGAGCACUGUUUCGGCAAGGGGGUCAUCCCGACUUACCAACCCGAUGCAAACUGCGAAUACCGGAGAAUGUUAUCACGGGAGACACACGGCGGGUGCUAACGUCCGUCGUGAAGAGGGAAACAACCCAGACCGCCAGCUAAGGUCCCAAAGUCAUGGUUAAGUGGGAAACGAUGUGGGAAGGCCCAGACAGCCAGGAUGUUGGCUUAGAAGCAGCCAUCAUUUAAAGAAAGCGUAAUAGCUCACUGGUCGAGUCGGCCUGCGCGGAAGAUGUAACGGGGCUAAACCAUGCACCGAAGCUGCGGCAGCGACGCUUAUGCGUUGUUGGGUAGGGGAGCGUUCUGUAAGCCUGUGAAGGUGUGCUGUGAGGCAUGCUGGAGGUAUCAGAAGUGCGAAUGCUGACAUAAGUAACGAUAAAGCGGGUGAAAAGCCCGCUCGCCGGAAGACCAAGGGUUCCUGUCCAACGUUAAUCGGGGCAGGGUGAGUCGACCCCUAAGGCGAGGCCGAAAGGCGUAGUCGAUGGGAAACAGGUUAAUAUUCCUGUACUUGGUGUUACUGCGAAGGGGGGACGGAGAAGGCUAUGUUGGCCGGGCGACGGUUGUCCCGGUUUAAGCGUGUAGGCUGGUUUUCCAGGCAAAUCCGGAAAAUCAAGGCUGAGGCGUGAUGACGAGGCACUACGGUGCUGAAGCAACAAAUGCCCUGCUUCCAGGAAAAGCCUCUAAGCAUCAGGUAACAUCAAAUCGUACCCCAAACCGACACAGGUGGUCAGGUAGAGAAUACCAAGGCGCUUGAGAGAACUCGGGUGAAGGAACUAGGCAAAAUGGUGCCGUAACUUCGGGAGAAGGCACGCUGAUAUGUAGGUGAAGUCCCUCGCGGAUGGAGCUGAAAUCAGUCGAAGAUACCAGCUGGCUGCAACUGUUUAUUAAAAACACAGCACUGUGCAAACACGAAAGUGGACGUAUACGGUGUGACGCCUGCCCGGUGCCGGAAGGUUAAUUGAUGGGGUUAGCGCAAGCGAAGCUCUUGAUCGAAGCCCCGGUAAACGGCGGCCGUAACUAUAACGGUCCUAAGGUAGCGAAAUUCCUUGUCGGGUAAGUUCCGACCUGCACGAAUGGCGUAAUGAUGGCCAGGCUGUCUCCACCCGAGACUCAGUGAAAUUGAACUCGCUGUGAAGAUGCAGUGUACCCGCGGCAAGACGGAAAGACCCCGUGAACCUUUACUAUAGCUUGACACUGAACAUUGAGCCUUGAUGUGUAGGAUAGGUGGGAGGCUUUGAAGUGUGGACGCCAGUCUGCAUGGAGCCGACCUUGAAAUACCACCCUUUAAUGUUUGAUGUUCUAACGUUGACCCGUAAUCCGGGUUGCGGACAGUGUCUGGUGGGUAGUUUGACUGGGGCGGUCUCCUCCUAAAGAGUAACGGAGGAGCACGAAGGUUGGCUAAUCCUGGUCGGACAUCAGGAGGUUAGUGCAAUGGCAUAAGCCAGCUUGACUGCGAGCGUGACGGCGCGAGCAGGUGCGAAAGCAGGUCAUAGUGAUCCGGUGGUUCUGAAUGGAAGGGCCAUCGCUCAACGGAUAAAAGGUACUCCGGGGAUAACAGGCUGAUACCGCCCAAGAGUUCAUAUCGACGGCGGUGUUUGGCACCUCGAUGUCGGCUCAUCACAUCCUGGGGCUGAAGUAGGUCCCAAGGGUAUGGCUGUUCGCCAUUUAAAGUGGUACGCGAGCUGGGUUUAGAACGUCGUGAGACAGUUCGGUCCCUAUCUGCCGUGGGCGCUGGAGAACUGAGGGGGGCUGCUCCUAGUACGAGAGGACCGGAGUGGACGCAUCACUGGUGUUCGGGUUGUCAUGCCAAUGGCACUGCCCGGUAGCUAAAUGCGGAAGAGAUAAGUGCUGAAAGCAUCUAAGCACGAAACUUGCCCCGAGAUGAGUUCUCCCUGACUCCUUGAGAGUCCUGAAGGAACGUUGAAGACGACGACGUUGAUAGGCCGGGUGUGUAAGCGCAGCGAUGCGUUGAGCUAACCGGUACUAAUGAACCGUGAGGCUUAACCUUACAACGCCGAAGGUGUUU
Molecule: ribosomal RNA, 2933 nt
Filed under: Escherichia coli
Lineage: Bacteria; Pseudomonadati; Pseudomonadota; Gammaproteobacteria; Enterobacterales; Enterobacteriaceae
Description: bacterial LSU rRNA
Rfam family: Bacterial large subunit ribosomal RNA
Source: RNAcentral